Molecule: ribosomal RNA, 117 nt
Filed under: Jaculus jaculus (lesser Egyptian jerboa)
Lineage: Eukaryota; Metazoa; Chordata; Mammalia; Rodentia; Dipodidae
Source: RNAcentral
GUCCAUGACCAUACUUCUCAGAAUGCUCCUGAUGUCAUGUGAUUUCAGAAGCUAGGCAGACACAGGUUGGGAAAGUACUUGGAUGGGAGAAUUAAAGAGGAAAAAAAUGCAUGCAUG